AUGUCCUUCGGGCAUCUGGUCAAUUUGAAUUGAAACAGAGAAGAUCAGCAUGCUCCCUGCACUAAGGAUGACAUAUGUUAACAAGGAGAGUAAUGAUUUUUU
Molecule: non-coding RNA, 102 nt
Organism: Pseudocercospora fijiensis CIRAD86
Lineage: Eukaryota; Fungi; Ascomycota; Dothideomycetes; Mycosphaerellales; Mycosphaerellaceae
Source: Rfam